RNAcentral lists this ribosomal RNA (403 nucleotides) under uncultured bacterium. RNAcentral's name for it is "partial 16S ribosomal RNA". It matches the Rfam family "Bacterial small subunit ribosomal RNA", at positions 28 to 526 of the family's 1533-position model. The record is from RNAcentral.
GACGAACGCUGGCGGCGUGCCUAAUACAUGCAAGUCGAACGCAGUGGGGACGGGUGAGUAACACGUGGGUAACCUCCCAUCAGAGGGGAUAACACUUGGCAACAGGUGCUAAACCGAUACUGAUGGAUGGACCCGCGGUGCAUUAGCUAGUUGGUGAGGUAACGGCUCACCAAGGCCACGAUGCAUAGGCGGCCUGGGAGGGGGAUCGGCCAAACUGGGACCGAGACAAGGCCCAGACUCCGUCGGGGGGCAGCAGGAGGGAAACUUUGGCAAUGGGGGGAAACCUUACCGAGCAACGCCGCGUGAGUGAAGAAGGGUUUCGGAUCGUAAAGCUCUGUUGUGAAGGAAGCGGUACUUAACCAGAAAGGGACGGCUAACUACGUGCCAGCCGCCGCGGUAAUUC